GAGUGAAGAGGGAAGAGCUCAUCAUUGGAAUCUGGCAGUGUUGCACUGUCCGAGUUGUAGAUGAGGAGUAGUUCAUCUGGACUGCAUGGCGUCCAAGUACAAUAGGCCGUCAGUGGGACAUCAUAGAGGGUGACAAUCCCGUCCUUGAUGCCAAUGUGCAAGUCCAUUACGAUGACUAUCUCAGAGAGUCGAGCAGUUUGGGAUUUGCUGCUUAAACAUGGGAGGUAGAUUCCUUCUAAAGCUAAAUACAGGCGAGAGACCGAUAGAGAACAAGUACCGCAAGGGAAAGAUGAAAUAGCACUCUGUGAAGGGAGUCAAAAGGCGUGAAAUUGUUGCGAGAGAAGCGAUUCAAGUCAGCGUAGCUAGGCCCAUCAAGCCUAUUGCUUUGGACUAGCUUUGCCAGCGGUCUUGUCCUUAGAGACUUGACUUGUAUGUCCAGCCUGGUAUGCACAGGUAGCCCCCCUUGGGGGUCAGUGACAUGGCUGGUGGAAUGGCUUGCAAUCGACCCGUCUUGAAACACGGACCAAGGAGUCUAACAUGUAUGCGAGUAUAAGGGUGGCAAACCCGUAUGCGCAAUGAAAGUGAUUUUCGAUGAUUGAGAAUGGCCUGAUGACCAGACAAGCAAUACAUGUCCCUCGUACGGCCAUUGCCCAAGUUCCGUGGUAGAUCCCAUGAACAUGGAGUUGGAGCAUACAUGCUAGGACCCGAAAGAUGGUGAACUAUGCCUGGACAAAGCGAAGCCAAAGGAAACUCUGGUGGAGGCUUGUAGCGAUUCUGACGUGCAAAUCGAUCGUCUGAUCUG
Molecule: ribosomal RNA, 802 nt
Filed under: Cantharellus velutinus
Lineage: Eukaryota; Fungi; Basidiomycota; Agaricomycetes; Cantharellales; Hydnaceae
Description: eukaryotic LSU rRNA
Rfam family: Eukaryotic large subunit ribosomal RNA
Source: RNAcentral